This 1013-nucleotide ribosomal RNA is filed under the name Glutamicibacter sp. RNAcentral describes it as "bacterial SSU rRNA". It matches the Rfam family "Bacterial small subunit ribosomal RNA", at positions 460 to 1464 of the family's 1533-position model. Lineage: Bacteria; Bacillati; Actinomycetota; Actinomycetes; Micrococcales; Micrococcaceae. The record is from RNAcentral.
GAUGCGAAAGUGACGGUACCUUGCAGAAGAAGCGCCGGCUAACUACGUGCCAGCAGCCGCGGUAAUACGUAGGGCGCAAGCGUUAUCCGGAUUUAUUGGGCGUAAAGAGCUCGUAGGCGGUUUGUCGCGUCUGCCGUGAAAGUCCGAGGCUCAACCUCGGAUCUGCGGUGGGUACGGGCAGACUAGAGUGAUGUAGGGGAGACUGGAAUUCCUGGUGUAGCGGUGAAAUGCGCAGAUAUCAGGAGGAACACCGAUGGCGAAGGCAGGUCUCUGGGCAUUUACUGACGCUGAGGAGCGAAAGCAUGGGGAGCGAACAGGAUUAGAUACCCUGGUAGUCCAUGCCGUAAACGUUGGGCACUAGGUGUGGGGGACAUUCCACGUUUUCCGCGCCGUAGCUAACGCAUUAAGUGCCCCGCCUGGGGAGUACGGCCGCAAGGCUAAAACUCAAAGGAAUUGACGGGGGCCCGCACAAGCGGCGGAGCAUGCGGAUUAAUUCGAUGCAACGCGAAGAACCUUACCAAGGCUUGACAUGUGCCAGACCGCUCCAGAGAUGGGGUUUCCCUUCGGGGCUGGUUCACAGGUGGUGCAUGGUUGUCGUCAGCUCGUGUCGUGAGAUGUUGGGUUAAGUCCCGCAACGAGCGCAACCCUCGUUCCAUGUUGCCAGCACGUAGUGGUGGGGACUCAUGGGAGACUGCCGGGGUCAACUCGGAGGAAGGUGGGGAUGACGUCAAAUCAUCAUGCCCCUUAUGUCUUGGGCUUCACGCAUGCUACAAUGGCCGGUACAAUGGGUUGCGAUACUGUGAGGUGGAGCUAAUCCCUAAAAGCCGGUCUCAGUUCGGAUUGGGGUCUGCAACUCGACCCCAUGAAGUCGGAGUCGCUAGUAAUCGCAGAUCAGCAACGCUGCGGUGAAUACGUUCCCGGGCCUUGUACACACCGCCCGUCAAGUCACGAAAGUUGGUAACACCCGAAGCCGAUGGCCUAACCACCUUGUGUGGGGGGAGUCGUCGAAGGGG